RNAcentral lists this ribosomal RNA (472 nucleotides) under uncultured organism. RNAcentral's name for it is "partial 16S ribosomal RNA". It matches the Rfam family "Bacterial small subunit ribosomal RNA", at positions 333 to 797 of the family's 1533-position model. The record is from RNAcentral.
ACACUCCUGCGGGAGGCAGCAGUGGGGAAUUUUGGACAAUGGGCGAAAGCCUGAUCCAGCAAUGCCGCGUGAGUGAAGAAGGCCUUCGGGUUGUAAAGCUCUUUUGUCAGGGAAGAAACGGUGAGAGCUAAUAUCUCUUGCUAAUGACGGUACCUGAAGAAUAAGCACCGGCUAACUACGUGCCAGCAGCCGCGGUAAUACGUAGGGUGCAAGCGUUAAUCGGAAUUACUGGGCGUAAAGCGUGCGCAGGCGGUUUUGUAAGUCUGAUGUGAAAUCCCCGGGCUCAACCUGGGAAUUGCAUUGGAGACUGCAAGGCUAGAAUCUGGCAGAGGGGGGUAGAAUUCCACGUGUAGCAGUGAAAUGCGUAGAUAUGUGGAGGAACACCGAUGGCGAAGGCAGCCCCCUGGGUCAAGAUUGACGCUCAUGCACGAAAGCGUGGGGAGCAAACAGGAUUAGAUACCCUUGUAGUCCC